RNAcentral lists this long non-coding RNA (942 nucleotides) under Pan troglodytes (chimpanzee). Its description in RNAcentral is "long non-coding RNA NONPTRT017068". The record is from RNAcentral. Lineage: Eukaryota; Metazoa; Chordata; Mammalia; Primates; Hominidae.
UGCAAGGUUGAUUCAACAUACACAAAUCAAUAAAUGUAAUUCAUCACAUAAACAGAACUAAAGACAAAAACCACACGAUUAUCUCAAUAGACACAGAAAAGACCUUUGGUAAUUUAUCAUUUUUAUUAAUACAGAUAGUAAAUUAUUUAAAUGGCCUAACACUUGUGUAAAGCCAUCUGUAAAAAGAACAAAACUAUAAAUUAAACUGUGUCUAGAAAUCUACCUUCCUUUAACUCCCAGACCUGUCCACUCCUGAGUAGCUGGGACUACAGACAACGUGCCACUGCACCCAGAUAAAUUUUCUAUUUCUAGUGUUUCUAUUUUGAAAUGUUUAUGUCAAACAUGGCAAUUUCUUCCCAAAUCUUAUGUCAUUAAUAUUUUCCUGUUUAGAAAGAGAUGUUUACAUUUUUAGAAAUAUAUUAAUAAGGUCAGAUUUCAUACACUACAGAUUCAAACUGAUAUGGUUCCCCCCUUGGAUCCUUAGCAAUGAACAAAAUUCAAGCACUGAUUAUUUAUAUGGUUACCUAUUAUACCUGAUCCAUUUAUCCUGGAGUUAAACAAGAAUGUUAAUAAAACCUCCCAAGAAAAAAAAAACCUAGGACAGAAGGCUUCAUUGGUGAAUUCUAUCAAAUAUUUAAAGAAGAAUUAAUUCCAAACACUUCCAAAAAAGAGGUGGAAAUACUUUUUAACUCAUUCUGCAAGGUCAGCAUUAUGCUGAUAACAAACCCAAAGACAUAACAAGGAAACUAUAAACCACUGUGCCUUAUAAAGAUGCAAACAUCUUCAACAAAACUAGCUAAUGAAUCCAGAAGCAUAUUAAAAAGAUUAUACGUUAUAAUAAACUAGGAUUUAUCCCAGGAAUGGAAAUUGGUUCUACAUACAAAUAUCAAUCUAAUAUACCACGUAAAUAAAAUAGAGGGAAAAAACACAAUCAUCUCAACU